AUAUGGUUUGACUUCUUUUGGGUUCCGAAAGAUAGUCUGACGUGAAAAUUUACGUCAGGCUACUGUACCAUAAAUUAAUCCUCCCCCACAGGACACAACAUAUUAAUAGCAAGUUGCCACCUCUAGUUACAUAAAGAGUCUGUGAGAAAGGAGCUUAAAUUUUUAUCAACGGCACCACAAAUUUCGUAAGACAUAUUAUAACAUCCACACCACAACUAAGGGAUGGAUUAGCUGCAAAUGCCUUCCAAAUUCUUUGGCCUCUCAUUAAUAGUCAAGGGGAAUUCUGUCAUUAAGAUCUCAAGCAAUACUAUCUAUUAUAACAAACUACACUACAGUAUAUUUAGGCACCAAAAUGAUGAGUUGAACAUGUGCAAAUACAUGUACACAGAUAGAAAUGCAUUCAUCCAAAACUUUAUCAGACAGGAAAGCAUAAAAGUUUAGCUAAGAUCAGACCUGCAAAUGAAGAACAUCUGCUAAUGGCUUCUUCUUCAAGUGA
Molecule: unclassified non-coding RNA, 496 nt
Filed under: Hevea brasiliensis (rubber tree)
Lineage: Eukaryota; Viridiplantae; Streptophyta; Magnoliopsida; Malpighiales; Euphorbiaceae
Source: RNAcentral